UCCCCGGUGGUCUAGUGGUUAGGAUUCAACACUUUCACUGCUGCAGCCUAGGUUCAAUCCCUAGUCUGGGAA
Sus scrofa (pig) is the source of this 72-nucleotide non-coding RNA. The record is from Rfam. NCBI's taxonomy places the organism in Eukaryota, Metazoa, Chordata, Mammalia, Artiodactyla, Suidae.